GCGGGCAGCAGGCAGGACACGUGGAAACGCAACCGCCAGGAGGAAAGGCGGGACACAGCGGGAAGGGAGGUUUGCCUCCCCUCUCUUCCUGUGGUGACCCCCACCUCACUUACAAAAAUCACCACCGACGUUUGGGAACCGUGCACGCCGACUGAAAGCAAAGCUCAGCUGACCUGCGAGGAGUCCCCGGGGAGCUGCCGCGGUGGUCGCCGUUGAGUCCGUCCGUGCCGCUGGGGCCGAGGCAGCUGGAGAUGUGGUCAACGGGCUGAUGGGCACGGCUGUGGGACCCCAUCAUUCCCCUGCCCCGCAUGACUCUGCUCUCCCAGCUCGACUGCUCACUUCAGACUUCCCUUAUGGAAGGAGUUGCCAGAUAGAGCAAGUAAAAUACAGUGUGCCAGACACAGGUUUAUUUCAACACUGGGAAGGCUCCAUUCCUACUUAAACCCAGCAGGGAACAGGGAGCGGUGUGCAGAGGAGGUGGCCUGCCCGGGAAGCCGGCCUUGGUGCUGGGACUGCAGGGAGAGGGCUGUGAGGAAGAGCACAGGCUUCAUGCACAUUGCACAGAGGAGGAGAUUCAUGGGGACAGCAGGCACUGGUUAGGCACAGCGGGAAGGUUAUCGAAGACAAAACACAUUUCUACCCAAGUUUAAAUGACCUGCUAUGCCCACAGAGCUUGAUCCAGAAGUGCACAGUAGAGACGGGGUUUCACCAUGUUAGCCAGGAUGGUCUCGAUCUCCUGACCUCGUGAUCUGCCCGCCUCAGCCUCCCAAAGUGCUGGGAUUACAGGAGUGAGCCACCGCUCCCGGCCCAGAACUUUUAAUAAAUAUAAAUACACAGGUAAUUUUAACACAUAUUCCUGAUGAAAUCAUUAUUAUCUGCAAUGCUUUCAUUCUGCUUUUUCUCUUAACAAUGGCAUAAACAUUUUUCAAGGUCAAUAAAUGUUUUUCAAAAUCGCAUUUGUAUUAGUGGCUGUAUAGUUUUCUAUCAAAUGUGGAAUAAACUCAAUUUAUUUCUCCCUUUUGUUCUUGAACAUUUAAGAUCAUUGGUUCAUAGUUACUAAUCAUGUUACAACAAAUAUUCAUGUAUUCCAAAUUUUGCUCAUUCCUGAUUAUUUCCUUAGAUUUCCAGGUAUGGAAUAAUUAGGUUGAAGUGUUUGAAAUCUUUUUUUGUUGGUUUGUUUGUUUUUGAGAUGUAGCUUCCCUCUGUUGCCCCGGCUGGAGUGCACUGGCAUGAUCUCAGCUCACUCACUGCAACCUCUGCUGCCUGGUUCAAGCGAUUCUCCUGCCUCAGCCUCCUGAAUAGCUGGGGUUACAGGUGCGCACCACCACGCCCGGCUAAUUUUUGUAUUUUUAGUAGAGACAGGGUUUCAUCAUGUUGGCCAGGUGGGUCUCAAACUCCUGACCUCAGGUGGUCCUUCUGCCUUGGCCUCCCAAAGUGCUGGGAUUACAGGCGUGAGCCACUGCGCCCGGCCGAAGUGUUUGAAAUCUUUAAGCAUCCUGGUAAAUAUUGAGUUUUGUCAAUAUUUAGAAAAGUUGCAUGAUUGACAUCGCUUCCACCCAUGUUUCAGAGCAUCUGAUUUGUCAGACCCUCACCAAAAAUGGGCUUUUAUCAAAAUGUAAUAAAAAAUAAAUACAACUUUUCCAAUGACAA
This 1650-nucleotide long non-coding RNA is filed under the name Homo sapiens (human). Its description in RNAcentral is "non-protein coding LINC01558:3". The record is from RNAcentral. Lineage: Eukaryota; Metazoa; Chordata; Mammalia; Primates; Hominidae.